GUGUGCAUGGCAGACGUGUUUUUUCGAACGUGAGAGAGAGCGUUUGAACGAGUUUGAGGCAGUCCGAGCAGAAAUUGUUAGUUUUUCAGCUCGUUCUUGGACUCGAGGGCCUUGUCGAUUUGCCCUUUGUGCUCGUCAGUUGUUUCCGGACCGUGAAGGAACUUGCAGGCGCAGCCCUUCUGCAUGAUUUGCGCCCGCGUAUACCCGGUGCUAAUAUUGAAUCUGGACAGCGCGGAAUAAUUACUGCCACCAUCGUGUGCUCUAAAGAUUAAUGAAAUAGGUAGGUGUUUAAUUGGUGAUGCCAUAUAUAUUGAUUUUGCCACCAUCCGCCAUGAGUACCAAUUAGAUUGCAUACCCACGU
This is a long non-coding RNA of Dalotia coriaria, 361 nucleotides long. RefSeq lists it as uncharacterized. The transcript has 3 exons. The record is from RefSeq and is a predicted model, not a curated record. NCBI's taxonomy places the organism in Eukaryota, Metazoa, Arthropoda, Insecta, Coleoptera, Staphylinidae.